This 465-nucleotide ribosomal RNA is filed under the name uncultured bacterium. RNAcentral's name for it is "partial 16S ribosomal RNA". It matches the Rfam family "Bacterial small subunit ribosomal RNA", at positions 338 to 795 of the family's 1533-position model. The record is from RNAcentral.
CCUACGGGGGGCAGCAGUGGGGAAUAUUGCGCAAUGGGCGAAAGCCUGACGCAGCGACGCCGCGUGAGGGAUGAAGGUCUUCGGAUCGUAAACCUCUGUCAGCAGGGAAGAACGGUCACUGUGCUAAUCAGCAGUGAAUUGACGGUACCUGCAAAGGAAGCACCGGCUAACUCCGUGCCAGCAGCCGCGGUAAUCCGGAGGGUGCGAGCGUUAAUCGGAAUUACUGGGCGUAAAGCGCUCGUAGGCGGUAUGUCAAGUCAAGGGUGAAAUCCCCGCGCUCAACGUGGGAACUGCAUUUGACACUGGCAAACUGGAGUGUGUGAGAGGAUAGUGGAAUUCCAGGUGUAGGAGUGAAAUGCGUAGAGAUCUGGAGGAACAUCAGUGGCGAAGGCGACUAUCUGGCACAGAACUGACGCUGAGGAGCGAAAGCGUGGGUAGCAAACAGGAUUAGAUACCCGAGUAGUC